CCUACGGGGUGCAGCAGUGGGGAAUAUUGGACAAUGGGCGAAAGCCUGAUCCAGCCAUGCCGCGUGUGUGAAGAAGGCCUUCGGGUUGUAAAGCACUUUCAGUGGGGAAGAAAGCCUUGGGGCUAAUACCCUCGAGGAAGGACAUCACCCACAGAAGAAGCACCGGCUAACUCCGUGCCAGCAGCCGCGGUAAUACGGAGGGUGCGAGCGUUAAUCGGAAUUACUGGGCGUAAAGCGCGCGUAGGCGGUCUGAUAAGCCGGUUGUGAAAGCCCCGGGCUCAACCUGGGAACGGCAUCCGGAACUGUCAGGCUAGAGUGCAGGAGAGGAAGGUAGAAUUCCCGGUGUAGCGGUGAAAUGCGUAGAGAUCGGGAGGAAUACCAGUGGCGAAGGCGGCCUUCUGGACUGACACUGACGCUGAGGUGCGAAAGCGUGGGUAGCAAACAGGAUUAGAUACCCCAGUAGUC
RNAcentral lists this ribosomal RNA (465 nucleotides) under Vreelandella stevensii. RNAcentral describes it as "partial 16S ribosomal RNA". It matches the Rfam family "Bacterial small subunit ribosomal RNA", at positions 338 to 795 of the family's 1533-position model. Lineage: Bacteria; Pseudomonadati; Pseudomonadota; Gammaproteobacteria; Oceanospirillales; Halomonadaceae. The record is from RNAcentral.